UACGUAGGGGGCAAGCGUUGUCCGGAUUUAUUGGGCGUAAAGAGCGUGUAGGCGGUCAGGUAGGUCCGUUGUGAAAACUCGAGGCUCAACCUCGAGACGCCGAUGGAAACCAUCUGACUAGAGUCCGGAAGAGGAGAGUGGAAUCCCUGGUGUAGCGGUGAAAUGCGCAGAUAUCAGGAAGAACACCCGUGGCUAAGGCGGCUCUCUAGUACGGUACUGACGCUGAGGAGCGAAAGCGUGGGUAGCAAACAGG
RNAcentral lists this ribosomal RNA (253 nucleotides) under uncultured bacterium. Its description in RNAcentral is "partial 16S ribosomal RNA". It matches the Rfam family "Bacterial small subunit ribosomal RNA", at positions 524 to 776 of the family's 1533-position model. The record is from RNAcentral.